This 112-nucleotide ribosomal RNA is filed under the name Neogale vison (American mink). The record is from RNAcentral. Lineage: Eukaryota; Metazoa; Chordata; Mammalia; Carnivora; Mustelidae.
GUCUACGGCCAUACCACCCUGAAUGCGCCCGAUCUCGUCUGAUCUCGGAAGCUAAGCAGGGUCGGGCCUGGUUAGUACUUGGAUGGGAGAAUGGGCAUCCCUGUCGUGUUCC